RNAcentral lists this ribosomal RNA (576 nucleotides) under Pichia kudriavzevii. RNAcentral describes it as "partial large subunit ribosomal RNA". It matches the Rfam family "Eukaryotic large subunit ribosomal RNA", at positions 37 to 634 of the family's 3401-position model. The record is from RNAcentral. Lineage: Eukaryota; Fungi; Ascomycota; Pichiomycetes; Pichiales; Pichiaceae.
UGCAUAUCAAAAAGCGGAGGAAAAGAAACCAACAGGGAUUGCCUCAGUAGCGGCGAGUGAAGCGGCAAGAGCUCAGAUUUGAAAUCGUGCUUUGCGGCACGAGUUGUAGAUUGCAGGUUGGAGUCUGUGUGGAAGGCGGUGUCCAAGUCCCUUGGAACAGGGCGCCCAGGAGGGUGAGAGCCCCGUGGGAUGCCGGCGGAAGCAGUGAGGCCCUUCUGACGAGUCGAGUUGUUUGGGAAUGCAGCUCCAAGCGGGUGGUAAAUUCCAUCUAAGGCUAAAUACUGGCGAGAGACCGAUAGCGAACAAGUACUGUGAAGGAAAGAUGAAAAGCACUUUGAAAAGAGAGUGAAACAGCACGUGAAAUUGUUGAAAGGGAAGGGUAUUGCGCCCGACAUGGGGAUUGCGCACCGCUGCCUCUCGUGGGCGGCGCUCUGGGCUUUCCCUGGGCCAGCAUCGGUUCUUGCUGCAGGAGAAGGGGUUCUGGAACGUGGCUCUUCGGAGUGUUAUAGCCAGGGCCAGAUGCUGCGUGCGGGGACCGAGGACUGCGGCCGUGUAGUCACGAUGCCUGCCAUUACG